Molecule: ribosomal RNA, 353 nt
Filed under: Penaeus semisulcatus
Lineage: Eukaryota; Metazoa; Arthropoda; Malacostraca; Decapoda; Penaeidae
Description: partial small subunit ribosomal RNA
Rfam family: Bacterial large subunit ribosomal RNA
Source: RNAcentral
AAGUGAAAAGGCUUAAAUGGAUUAGGGGGACGAUAAGACCCUAUAAAGCUUGACAAUAAGUUAAUUAUAUUAUAAAUUGUUAGUAUAACUUGAUUUUAAUUGACGUUUGUUACGUUGGGGCGACGAGAAUAUAAUGAGUAACUGUUCUUAAACAUUUAAUGACAAAUAUAAUUGGUAUUUGAUUGAUCCUUUAUUAAAGAUUAAAAGAUUAAGUUACUUUAGGGAUAACAGCGUAAUCUUCUUUGAGAGUUCAUAUCGACAAGAAGGGUUGCGACCUCGAUGUUGAAUUAAGGUAUCCUUAUGAUGCAGCAGUUAUAAAGGAAGGUCUGUUCGACCUUUAAAUCCUUACAUGA